AGCGAACGCUGGCGGCAGGCCUAACACAUGCAAGUCGAACGGACCCUUCGGGGUUAGUGGCGGACGGGUGAGUAACACGUGGGAACGUGCCUUUAGGUUCGGAAUAGCUCCUGGAAACGGGUGGUAAUGCCGAAUGUGCCCUUCGGGGGAAAGAUUUAUCGCCUUUAGAGCGGCCCGCGUCUGAUUAGCUAGUUGGUGAGGUAAUGGCUCACCAAGGCGACGAUCAGUAGCUGGUCUGAGAGGAUGACCAGCCACACUGGGACUGAGACACGGCCCAGACUCCUACGGGGGGCAGCAGUGGGGAAUCUUGCGAAAUGGGCGAAAGCCUGACGCAGCCAUGCCGCGUGAAUGAUGAAGGUCUUAGGAUUGUAAAAUUCUUUCACCGGGGACGAUAAUGACGGUACCCGGAGAAGAAGCCCCGGCUAACUUCGUGCCAGCCGCCGCGGUAA
This 449-nucleotide ribosomal RNA is filed under the name uncultured bacterium. Its description in RNAcentral is "partial 16S ribosomal RNA". It matches the Rfam family "Bacterial small subunit ribosomal RNA", at positions 29 to 523 of the family's 1533-position model. The record is from RNAcentral.